This 6879-nucleotide long non-coding RNA is filed under the name Homo sapiens (human). RNAcentral's name for it is "HSALNT0328382". The record is from RNAcentral. Lineage: Eukaryota; Metazoa; Chordata; Mammalia; Primates; Hominidae.
CUCCAGUCCCCUUCUGCACUGUGGAAGCUUUGUUCUUUUGCUCUUUGCAAUAAAUCUUGCUACUGCUCACUCUUUGCGUCCACACUGCCUUUAUGAGCUGUAACACUCACUGCGAAGGUCUGCAGCUUCACUCCUGAAGCCAGCCAGACUACGAACCCACCGGGAGGAACGAACAACUCCAGAUGCGCCACCUUAAGAGCUGUAACACUCACCGCGAAGGUCCCGCAGCUUCACUCCUGAGCCAGCAAGACCACGAACCCACCAGAAGGAAGAAACUCCGAACACAUCUGAACAUCAGAAGGAACAAACUCUGGACACACUGCCUUUAAGAACUGUAAUACUCACCGUGAGGGCCCGCGGCUUCAUUCUUGAAGUCAGUGAGACCAAGAACCCACCAAUUCCAGACACAGUGGGAUCACAGAGAGAGCCAACAGUCCAGGCCAUGACAAGCUGGCACCCAGCUCUGCUUCACAUGUAAGUUAUUCCUCUUCUAAUUGUCCCGCUAGGUGAAAUUGAUUAAUCAUUUAUUCAGAAUCUCCACUUCCUGCUAGUUGUCCAACUGGCGUGGCUGUAGCUCCUUCCUGCAAGGCAAUGCUGAAGAAGCUAUGGAAGCAAGAAGGAAGCAUGGAUUCUAAAAACUGACAACAAACCACUUACCCCUAUUGCUCUUCUUCCUAAAGCUAAAGGUAAAUCUUGGCUGGAGUUGCAAAUGGGAAUGUUAGCAAAUGGGAAUAGGAAUGGUGGUUCUAAUGCUUGGGGCUCACCACCUUCCCUCCCUUAUACUCCUUUCCUGAUGCAGAGUGCCAGAGUAGCCAAUACCCCCUUUCAACAGGAGCUCACAGGACAGAAGAAGGUCAAAACUUAAGGAGGAAAAUUACAUUAAAAGAAAGAUCAAAACUGUACAAGACAACAAUACAUACCACCCAAAGCAAAAAUAUUAGAGCAAACAGACCAAGGAAUUUUUUUUUUUUUUUUGAGACGGAAUCUUGCUCUGUCAUUUAGGCUGGAGUGCAGUGGUGUGAUCUCGGCUCACUGCAACCCCUGCCUCCCAGGUUCAAGCGAUUCUCACACCUCCCUAGUAGCUGGGACUACAGACUAUGCCCAGGAGAACCCUAGGACCUUCAGGACACCAUUUGAAAAUUAUUCAUGGAGAACAUGGCAUCCUAGAAUGAGAAAUCCACAUCUGGUACUGUCAGCCAGGGUUCCUAGCUUUCAGCAGAGAAAGAACUUAUUAAAAAUAGAUAGGAUAGCAUAGCUCACCCCACCCCUAAGAGGGAGAGAUGACAAGCUUGGAGAUAGGAAGAACGGCCUGGAUUCACAAUGCAGUGAAGAUCCUGCUGCUGCCAGGCACAGCAACUCUGGCUCAUAUCACUAGACAUGGGACCUGGCUGGGGGGCUCGUACCAGGAAGCCUGGACACAGGACCCUGCUGCUGGGGCUGUGGCUGCAGGGCUUCUGGAGGGUCUGUGUUGCUGAGACUCCAACUGCUGCCCCCACCCACUGGAAUGGAGCCUGCCCCAGUUUCUGAUUCACAGUCUGAGGCAGGAGUGUCUCACUGGAAGAUCUUGCACCACGGGCCUGUACCUUAGCUUUAAAGAAGGCUGUGGAAAGGCAUAUAUGGCAUUUUUGUUUCUGUAAUUUGAAGUAGCUCUACCUAAUAAGACAGAAAAUUCUCCAAAAGGAGAAGGAGGUUCAGAUGCUAAGGGAGGAGGAAAUAAUGACAAAUGCUUACUACAGGAACUUUGGCAAGUUGCUUUAUCUCUGAGCAUUAUUCCUCUAGGAAAAAUAAUGGCCCUUCUAAGUCAUCCAUCCAUCCAUCCACCCAUCCAUCUGUUUAUCCAUCCAUAGCAAACAUUUAGUAAGAGCUGUUCUAGCUAUCUAUUGUUUCAUAAUAAAUGACCCCAGCUUCGUGGCUGAAACAAUCAUUUCAAGGUAUCUCAUGACUUUUGUUGGUAAGGAACUCACACAGGACUCAGCUGGGUGAUUCUGCUCCCUGUAGAGUCAGCUGGAGUCCUUUGAGAUAUUCAAGUAGCAGCUGAUCUGAUCUGGACUUGUCAAAAUGGCUUUGCCGACUUAGCUGAUCCCUUGACCGGGAUGGCUGGAAAGCUGGACUCCGCUGGGCUCCACUCCCUCUCCAUGUGGUCUUAGGCCUUUCCACAUGGACUCAUCAGCAGGGUAGCUGGGCUUCUUACAUGAAAGCUCAGGGCUCCAAGAGACAAGGUUUGCCUUAAGGCUAGGCUUAGAGGUGUCAUAAUGUCACUUCCACCAUACUCAGUUGGUCAAAGCAGUCACAGGUUAGCCCAGAUUCAAAAGGGGAAAUAAAAUACAUAGACAUCACCUCUGGAUGGGAGGCAUCAGUGAAUUUGUGGUAAGAGCCUUUAAUCCACUGUAAAAACCAACUAUGUGCCAGACAGUGUUAAGAGGGGGAGAUACGAAACCAAGACAUGGCCCUGUCUUCAAGGAGCUUGCAGUCAUACAAGGUUACAAAUGAAGGCAGUUAAUGAGAUCAAUGUCAAGAAGCACUGUAAAUUGUAAAACAAUUUUAAUAUGAAGGAUUGCUUUGUCUCUGAGCUUUAUUCCUAAAUAAUCCUAAAACUAGGAUUUAACAAAUCCCUAUAAUGCUCUGAAGUAUCAGUUACUGUUUGUUGACUGUUCACCAAGUAUCAGGCACUCGGCUAAGAAUUGUUUUGGUAUAAUUCUUCCCAAUUCUCAAACCAAUCUCACUGCAUUAAUUUCUUUUUAUUCUUUUUUUGAGACGGAGUCUUGCUCUGUCAGCCAGGCUGGAGUGCAGUGGCUUGAUCUCGGCUCACUGCAAGCUCCACCUUCCGGGUUCACGCCAUUCUCCUGCCUCAGCCUCCCGAGUAGCUGGGGACUACAGGCGCCCGCCACCAUGCCUGGCUAAUUUUUUGUAUUUUUAGUAGAAACGGGGUUUCACCAUGUUGGCCAGGAUGGUCUUGAUCUCCUGACCUCAUGAUCCGCCCGCCCCAGCCUCCCAAAGUGCUGGGAUUACAGGCGUGAGCCACCGCACCCAGCCCAUUGCAGCAAUUUCUACAUGCCAAAGCCUUGCCCAUGCUUCUUGUUUGAUGACAUGAUAUCUUGGGUUUGGUCUUAUAUCAGCACCCACCACUCUACCCAUUGAUGCCACUUAAUAGAUGCUUCUCGACAUGCCCACGCAGGCCUCUAGCCACUUAAGGAGAGAUUUUCAAUUUACAGUGACCCAACCAACCACUCGUUAGAUGCUCUGAUCUGUUCCUCUCACAAUUAUUACUUUAAUUUGCUGUCCUCUCUCGGGCCGUGAGGCGACAAGCUUGUAGGCUGCAAGGCAGACAGAGUUGAAGAUGUAUUUAAAAGUGCUUAUGCGCUAUUAGCAAAACUUACUAAAUUCCUGCUGUGUUUAGGGAACUAGACCACAGAGCACUGUGAGCCAACACAGUUCCUGCCUCAGAGAAUAGUCACCCAGACAAGAUUUUAAAACUUUUCAUUAGUUUUACCUGAUUGAUAAAAUUAGAAUGGAGAAAAUCAGAAAAGUAAAAAACGAAAAAGCAGCUAGUCAUAGUCUCACUAUCCAAAACCAGUGCUAUUCAUAUUUUGAUUUAUUGCCUUCUGGUUAUUUCUUUAUUUAUUUUUAGUUUUAAGAAAAUUAAUACACUUCAUUUUUUAGAACAGUUUAAAGUUUAUAGUAAAAUUGAGCAGCUAGGACAGCUGUUUCCCUCUGCCCUCCUUCCCUGAACAUAUUCCCUUCCCUAUUAUUAACAUCGUGUAACAAAGAACUUGUAUUAGUGCCAUAUAUUUGUUACAAUUAGUGAACCAAUAUUCAUACAUUAUUAUUAAAUAAAGUCUAUCAUUUACUUUAAGGUUUAUUCUCUGUGUUGUACAGUUCUGUGGGUUUUGACGAAUGCAGGAUCAAACUGCAUCACGGAAGCUGCACACGAUGACACCCUGUCUGGAAAGUUUUUGCCAGAGGGCAAAAGACUGCAAGCAGAAUAUCCCUUUGCCAUUUCUCAUGCCCUCAGCUGGAAUGUGGCAGAACUGGGAGCUGAAUCCAGGACAGUGGUUUCCUCAUCUGCUCUAGCCAGGAGCAGGCCAGGCCACCCUUCUGGACACAGUCUAUCCCACGUGGGGACAGACUGGCCAGCCCCAGCCCGUGGGUCUCAACGCGGCCAGAGCUGCUGUGAGAAAUCUUGUUUGUUUUAGCCUUUGGAGUCCUGUCUGUUCUCUGACCUCUGACCCAGAACUGUGUGUUCCAACCACUUCCCAGUCUGUUGUCCUGGCUCAAAACAAAGUGAACGAAAGCUCUUUCCUCAAGCCCUGCUCUCAUACUCCAGGGCUCUGUGAAAAUGAGUGGUAUGGGCACAUGGCUGGUGAGUCACUGUGGCCCUAAAAUGAGCGGGAAAAUAGAGGGCAGGUCCGGGCCUCGCAGGGCACUAAUGGCAGGGAAGCAGGAGGGUCAGCAUCAGGAGCCUGGCCUUUGGCCCGCAGAGACCUGAGUCCUCCCCUUACUCCUGAGCUGUGUAACCUUAGGCAGGGAACUUACCCCUCUGGGCCUCAGUUUCCUCAUCGGGAAAGCAGGGCUGAUCAUAGUGCAUGGCUUAUAGAGCAGUUUUGAGGAUUUCAUGAACAAAAAAACAAAGGUAAAGCACUUAGCCUUCUGCCUGGCAUGAGUAAACCCUCAGGAAACUGUAGUUAUUAUUUAGUAGCCAGGAAAAUACAGAACACUUAAUCUGUUGGCUCCCUGGUGUUUCUCGAACUGUCAGCAAACACUUCCACAUCACCAGCCAGCAGAGCCAUUCAUCAAACACCUUUGCCUUUGUCUGUCAGGCCUCCCACUUCAACAAGUGUCCCUGGGUUUAAGUCAGUAACCUCCUAGGCACGGAAAGUUGCCUCACGCAUGUGACAUGCGAGCACGUCUCUAAAGGGGCAGAGGAUCUGGCAAAAACAUAGACUCGCAACUUGUCUGUUUCCUGAGACACCCACAAUUGGCCUCGUGGAAGUGGUUGACUUCUUCCCAUAGCUGCCUGUGUCUUACUUCAUCGCCUCCUCCAAGCCCAGGGCCAGCCCUGCCUGGCUGGGGGAUCAUGACAGUCUUUGUUCCCAUAUGGGCAAAGUCUUUUGAAAAGAGGGAAAGAUCAUUAGUUAGCUGUCAGCCUCCAGCGUGGUUAGGUCAUGAGUAAUUCUUCUAGAGAGCCAGAGCACUGGCAAUUCAUUUGGUCGAGAACGUUUUAUCUACUUGAACGGCGUAGCGAGGAAAUAAAUGGAACAAGUUAUAUCAAAAUCUCUGUCAACUGAACAAUUCCUUACCAAUCCAACAAGGAGUAUGACGACGAUGCCACUUUUCCUACCUUUGAGAGGUCAUGCACAGACACCGCACAUGAACACACCACAUUAUACCCCCCCCACCACAAAUGGGUGUACCCCCUCUCCCCCCACAUACUCACUGGUGCACAUAUACACGCCACACCACAUUCUGUAGUGGGGAAAGGAUCAUGUGCAGCCUUAAGGGCUGGUUUGCGUAACGGGUGCAUAUUUCUGCUAGUGUUUUUGUUCUUGCAGUCAGGACUGGCCGUUGUCUGAAAGCAAACCUCAAGGACAGGACUUCUGGACUCCGCAGCCACUUCAGGCUGCUGCUCCAUCGCAUGAAUUCCAGCAGGUGGCGCUGCACCCCGCGCGGACCCGGCUUGCCUCUCGGCCCCAGGGAGGUCGGUUGAUGAGCAGUCGGGAAGUGGGUCUGCGCGCACCCCGCUGCAGCUGUGGCAAACGCAAACGAUGACACACAGGCUUGACGAGGGCCUUUGUCAGAAGCAAUGGGGAUCUGGCGUCACCGCACAAUGGAAAACAAAGUGCUUCUGCCUGGCUGGCCAGAAUGCACGUUUGCUCACUAUUGAUGCUGGGGCAUUUACAGGCAGAAUGAGUUCAUGUGAAAUUUCAGGAUCUGCCAUGACUCAGAUUCACUUUCUGUAAACCAGAGUCAACAUUACAUUUCCCUUUACUCUGGGCCAUUCCUUGAAUUUUUAGGUCACCAGUUGUUUUUGUACUAACUGAAGGGAUUUGAGUAUUUCACAAGCACCUUAUUUUUAUUAGCAUUUUUAGGGCAUUACCAAUUUGGGACGGAUCUGUAGUGUGAGAGAUUGUUGUCACUCUUAGCUCCAAACAUAGGUUGACUUUAUAUAUUAUUUACAUGUUCAGAAUUAUACUGUGUAGAAAUUCAAAUGAAACUUGCAAAAUACUUUUCUGGCAGGAAGCCCUGGAGAGGAUCGUUCAUGGAAACAAGGAUGACGACUGGGGUAAGAAAUGCAGGUGACUCGUGAGUGGUCAGGGAGUGGAAGAGAAGACGGCUGGAAGGUUUUAGCAUUCAGAAAAAAAAUGGAGACAACUAGAGUUGAUCUGAAGAUUAUGGCAGAAUUCAAUAUUGGGGGAAAGAAACAAGAUGGGGGUUAGAAAUUAGAAACAGCAGAGCUCCACAGGUUGGAAAGGUUGGAAAGGAUUUGAGCAAGAGAACAAGGAGCCUGCUAAUAGCACCCUGGGUUUACAUCAAGAGAAGCACCUGGAGAGAAUUAACUCGGGAGGAGGUGGGGGCAUGGGAAACCUUUUCAUCUCCAAGAGCGGGCAGGAACAGCAGCUGGCCUGAACUUGAAGGUACACCAGGUAGCUUGCGUGGGCCAGGAGAAGGUGAUUCUCUUCUAUGCCUCUCUCCAACGCCCUGCUUCUGAUGCUGCUCCUCUACCUGUAUUGAGGGGAAGAUACAUCCCUAAGAAGUUCCCUGAACCCCAUUCUUUGUUGUGGCUAACUGGUCCCCUUGGAAUUUUUCUACUAAUUUUCAAUUCCCCCUCUCACCUGGUGAAAUCUUGAAUCUUACUGUUCAAUAAAAGUUCUUCUACCGAAA